CCUACGGGAGGCAGCAGUGGGGAAUAUUGGACAAUGGGCGCAAGCCUGAUCCAGCAAUGCCGCGUGAGUGAUGAAGGCCUUAGGGUCGUAAAGCUCUUUUACCAGGGAUGAUAAUGACAGUACCUGGAGAAUAAGUUCCGGCUAACUCCGUGCCAGCAGCCGCGGUAAUACGGAGGGAGCUAGCGUUGUUCGGAAUUACUGGGCGUAAAGCGUACGUAGGCGGUUAUUCAAGUCAGAGGUGAAAGCCCGGGGCUCAACCCCGGAACGGCCUUUGAAACUAGGUAGCUAGAAUCUUGGAGAGGUCAGUGGAAUUCCGAGUGUAGAGGUGAAAUUCGUAGAUAUUCGGAAGAACACCAGUGGCGAAGGCGACUGACUGGACAAGUAUUGACGCUGAGGUACGAAAGCGUGGGGAGCAAACAGGAUUAGAUACCCUGGUAGUCCACGCCGUAAACGAUGAUAACUAGCUGUUCGGGCACUUGGUGCUUGAGUGGCGCAGCUAACGCAUUAAGUUAUCCGCCUGGGGAGUACGGUCGCAAGAUUAAAACUCAAAGGAAUUGACGG
Molecule: ribosomal RNA, 561 nt
Filed under: uncultured bacterium
Lineage: Bacteria
Description: bacterial SSU rRNA
Rfam family: Bacterial small subunit ribosomal RNA
Source: RNAcentral